AAGACCCAAAAGGCCAGUAGGAUAAUAUGGAGUACUGAGUACUCACUUUAGUCCAGGCCUAAGACUCGGCUGAGGCAAGCAAGUUCACCAUCCUAAACGGAGCUCCUCAUUCAAACUUUACGAUUGUGCGUGGCAGCAAUGCUCAUUCGCUCAACUUUGCUAAUGCAGUAACAGAGAUAUAGCAAAACCGUGUUGCUACACGUUUACAGGUUAGGAAGUAGCAUCGGCAGGAUUCUAACCCAGGCAAAAUCACAUGUGGAAUCUCUGUGCAAAGAGCUUUAGACUUCAUCGUGCUCCACCUGUGUCAACUCCUAUAGCAUUUGAAGCGAUAAUCUUACUCUUCUUUCUGCUUCCUUCAGAACUCCGGAAAAUGCCCUGCAUGGAGGUCAGUGGGCAGACACGUGGACUCCUCUUUGGAUGUGGAUUCCCAGGGACCACUUGGCGUUCUUGGUACCAGGAAUCGGAACCACCAGUCUGGCUGUCACAGCCAAGUUUGGCCAGCCUGGCUUUAGCUGUGAUUCUGUUUUAGACACACUUCCAUGUCAAACUGUCCAAGGAAUUAUGCCAUUUGCUAGGACCCAGCCCCCAGCCUCAUAGAGCAGAGUUCAGAGAAGGGAUUUGGAACUGAGAAACAAUAGCUUAAUAACUGGCACGCUCGUAACUUAAUCCUGGGAGUGGGUUGCAAUCCACAGAGAUGGGUCCUGGGCAGCCAUGUCCGUAUUCUGUGUGUUUGUCCCCCACUGGGCUGAGAACAUCUGGCUCAUGGGAGACCCUCGCAUCUCGUUUCUCCAGCACUGGUGUUGAGACGGCAGAUUAGAUCCUGCCACUGAAUCCAAAUCAUUCAACAUCUGGGACAGCUGUUUUCCACCAAACAGAUUAAGUGCAGAGGAAAAGCUACUCUCUGCAGCGAUCAUAGUCCGGGUAGGGAAAGCAAGGUAGAAAUGAGAAGGAAGAAUUGAGAAAGAGAGAGAGAGGGAAUCAGACGGCUGUCUAGGUCUUGACUUCAGGCUCUUUUCCCAGAGCUGGCUGCAUCCUCGUUUCGUGUGUUCCCUGAGACACCCCCACCCUUAGAAAACGACCUGGACAUUUUGCACCAGCCAAAGAAGUUGCUUUCUGCCAUCCACACCCUAAAAGCGCAGAAUCAUAGGACGACCAAAUCUUGCUACUUCUCAGAACAAAAUUUAAAUUCUUUUUGAGGCAAUGUGGCUUACAAAUAACACAUAAAUGAUUUACUGGUCAAAAACAUGGUUGGCCAACUUCCUUGGAAAAAAGACAAGAAAUGGGCAGGGCUAUUUGUUCCUUGUUUCAGCAACAGGUGACAGUAAGGAUUUCUGAAUUGUCUCCCAGCUCUAAUUUCCUUAAAAAAUUUUUUUUUCCUUACAACUUAUAAUUGGUAAUUAAACAAAAAUAACAGUAGUGUUCAGGAAAAUGAGAGGAGGGAGAAAGUCAGAAUUCAGGAGGAAAACUAGUUGUAAGUCAAGAAGGUACAUGGCCAUUUUGAGGAGAAUAAGACACACUUCAGGAAACGUGUUCCCUUGGACAGGACACAGGACAGGUGCGUCCAGUGAUGGCCUGACCCAAAAGCUAAAGUGAGGGGGGAGCUGCGGAGGAGCAGGAGGAGAGGGCAUUCCAUGGUUACCAGGGAGAAACUUAACUCGCGUGAGCUUAAUAAAGCAGUUUCAAAAGGUUUCGGUUUUUUGUUUGCUUCCCACCUGGGUCUGGGCAGAGCGCAGCCAGUCACAUUUCAGGCUCGCUGGAUCCGGGAAGUUGAGUAACGCCACCAGGACUCAUUAUCUGUGCCUCUGAGUUCCACUUGUGUCUGCACUGGCUUCAUUCCCAAGCAGAUUAUUUUUUAAUAUAAGAUGCUGCCAGAUUUAACAACUAAGAAUAUAAGACACCUAGAUUCAUUUGAACUUCAGAUAAAUAAACGACAAAUAUAUUUUUUGAGAUUAAGUAUAUCCCAUGCAAUAUUUGGGAUACACUUACACUGUAAAGUUAUUCAUUAUUUGAAUUUUACGGGGGAAUCAGGUAUUUUACUGGGGCUUCCCAGGUGGUACUAGUGGUAAAGAAGCUGCCUGCUAGAGCUGGUGACAUAAGAGACCUGGGUUCUAUCCCUGGAUCGGGAGGAUCCCUUGGAGAAGCACGUGGUAACCCACUCCAGUAUUUUAUUGGCCCACCCUCCUCACAUGAGGUGGCAAAGAUGACUGCCAAUACUUCUAGACCUUAUAUUCUAUCUUCUAUUAUGUGUCCCAUUGGAACAAUCCAUGAACUGAUCACUGUGGCUUAAGAAAUGCAAUAAUCUGAUGAGCCAGAAGACAGAAAAGAUGUGGGAACAUAAUAGCUGUCCAUGAAAAAAAAAACAACACAGACUUACAAAUGGUUGGAGUGGAAUAUAGAAACAAUUUGAGUUCAAGCUCCUCAUUUAGCAGAUACAACAGUGAAGCCUGGAGGCGGCUUUACUUCCCCAGACAGCAGUCGUGGGGGAAUCCAGGCUGGAACAUCCGCCUGCCACCUCCUUACCACCCAGGCUCUUCCCACGCACCCUCGUGGCCACCGCCAUCCAGAUAUCUACUGGAUAAGUCGGUUAGCACCCACAAGGGCUUCCUCUCUCUCUUCUCUGUAUACAAAGUGAACAGGUAAAAAGGAAAUGCUUGUCAAAACAAAUCUCUAUUUGGUUUUCUCCAUCUACGGGACAAUUUCUGUAACGUGUCAAUCACUUUGUUGCAAAAUAGCCCUUCCAACGCACAAUCCACAUUUUCUGAUGACACCAGCCUGUCAGUCACUCACUACAUCAAAGCCAGAUUUCAUGCCAGCGAAGACCAGCUUGUCAAU
This is a long non-coding RNA of Bos grunniens (domestic yak), 2832 nucleotides long. The record is from Ensembl. NCBI's taxonomy places the organism in Eukaryota, Metazoa, Chordata, Mammalia, Artiodactyla, Bovidae.